UACGGAAGGCAGCAGUGGGGAAUAUUGCACAAUGGGCGCAAGCCUGAUGCAGCCAUGCCGCGUGUAUGAAAAAGGCCUUCGGGUUGUAAAGUACUUUCAGUCGUGAGGAAGGUGUUAAGGUUAAUAACCUUAGCAAUUGACGUUAGCGACAGAAGAAGCACCGGCUAACUCCGUGCCAGCAGCCGCGGUAAUACGGAGGGUGCGAGCGUUAAUCGGAAUUACUGGGCGUAAAGGGCACGCAGGCGGUUAAUUAAGUUGGAUGUGAAAUCCCCGGGCUUAACCUGGGAAUGGCAUUCAAGACUGGUUAGCUAGAGUCUUGUAGAGGGGGUGAAUUCCAUGUGUAGCGGUGAAAUGCGUAGAGAUGUGGAGGAAUACCGGUGGCGAAGGCGGCCCCUGGACAAAGGCUGACGCUCAUGUGCGAAAGCGUGGGGAGCAAAC
This 438-nucleotide ribosomal RNA is filed under the name uncultured bacterium. RNAcentral describes it as "bacterial SSU rRNA". It matches the Rfam family "Bacterial small subunit ribosomal RNA", at positions 340 to 773 of the family's 1533-position model. The record is from RNAcentral.